Molecule: ribosomal RNA, 463 nt
Filed under: uncultured bacterium
Lineage: Bacteria
Description: partial 16S ribosomal RNA
Rfam family: Bacterial small subunit ribosomal RNA
Source: RNAcentral
GACGAACGCUGGCGGCGUGCUUAACACAUGCAAGUCGAACGGAAAGGCCCUGCUUUUGUGGGGUGCUCGAGUGGCGAACGGGUGAGUAACACGUGAGUAACCUGCCCUUGACUUUGGGAUAACUUCAGGAAACUGGGGCUAAUACCGGAUAGGAGCUCCUGCUGCAUGGUGGGGGUUGGAAAGUUUCGGCGGUUGGGGAUGGACUCGCGGCUUAUCAGCUUGUUGGUGGGGUAGUGGCUUACCAAGGCUUUGACGGGUAGCCGGCCUGAGAGGGUGACCGGGUAGGAGGGGACUGAGACACGGCCCAGACCGCGACGGGAGGCAGCAGGGGGGAGUAUGGGAGACGGGGCGAAAGAAUGAUCAAGCACUGCGGGGGGAGGGAUGAAGGGCUUAGGGUUGUAAAGCGCGUGUACCCGGGAGGAGAAUGACGGGAACGGGAGAAUAAGCUCCGGCUAACUCCGUG